UGAUUUAUUGUUCUAAUUAGAGAAAAGCAUAUUUUGAUCACAACUCUGGUUCUUCCAUUCUCCUCAAAAGAGAGAGACUAUAUUUAGUGUCGAGUUCAUCUCAAAAAACAUAAGGCUUAUGCAAACCUUGUGAUUAUUUAAAGUGGAAAUAAAUCCUAAAGGCAACCUUUAUGAAAAAAAGCUCAUAAAAUUGAAGUGUAAUCUGUGAGAUGAACAUUUUAGGGUUAAGUGGUUUGUACUAUAGAAUCUUAGUGUGUGCAUUUCAAGACUGUCAAGCUACCUGACAGACUGAUGACCUCAAUUUGCUUUGCUUUACUUCGGCUCAUCAGUGAUGAUCAGUGUAAUGUUAGCUUACUUGAUUCUUCAAAGCUGCAUUCAAACACAAGGAAAUCUUCUCAAAAUAGACAAACCGUUUAGGUUUAUUCAGGGUGACUAUGUCUUUUUACUAACAUAAUGAAACUCGAUGAACAUCCAAGGAGAACUUUUAAUUCAUGAUGGAGCAUAGUUUCCUAGAUGCAUAGCACCUUGGCAAAGAGGAUAAACAGAUUAUAAUCCAUUUUGAUUUGACUAUUAAAAAAGAAUCUAAAGACUUGAGUAAAUCCAGUAAUUUAAAAGCUUUUGCAAUGAUGUACAUGCACAACUGCUAAACCCACUAUUAGUAACAAAUUACUUGUAGUGAAUUAGACUUAAAUGUAAUUUAAUUAAACUGUCAGCUGAGAUUCACAACAGUUGCUAUAGUUGAGCCUAUAAGCCCUCAGAAAAUGAAACCCCUCCCAGUGCUGGAUGUCACCAAACAAGAGCUUUUCACCCUAUUAUUGUUUUAGUAUAUGUUUUCAUGGUUGCAAAAGGGAAAAUGAGCAUGUAUAUUAAGGCAAUUAAAUAAUGCAAUACACCUGCUGAUCUGAGUAAUCUUUUGAGUCAAAAGGGAGUUUAUCCUCUUUAACCAAUCAUAUGGGUCUUCUUACAGCCAAGCAGCUAGGGGGGAAGGAGAGCCAUCUGCUUUCUGGAUUUUGCUAUUCGCCACAUGGGUUAGUUACAAAGGCAAGAAAGAUGAUGUGUUAUGCUUCAAGAGAAUAAAGUGAAGAAGAUAGGUGUUGGUCAUCCAUAAAUUUAGAUGAGGCACUAUAAAAAAGGCUUUUAAACAGCAAUGAGGAGUGAAAUUCUGGAAAAGCCAACCAAGCACACAGGAGAUAAGAAGAACUCUUAAGAUAUUUUUAGAUGUCAAUUGCUGUAUUUAUUGAUGGGAUGGUACAACAGAACAAUCGGUUUCUGAAGCUGCGAAAUUAUGCCUUAAUGCCAUGCUUCAGGGCCUUUUUUUGUUUCCAUUCAAGUCAGUGAGAAUAAUUUUCUCUCUAUGGUUUGUGAAUUAACUUUUUUUGACAUAAUUUUUUGUCUUCUAGUAAAACAUUGGCUGCACACAGGCAAAGUGUUAAGGUGAUUAGCAGUGCCAUUGUAAUUGAAAUACUGAAGUGCUUAGUGGUCCCUCAGCCUUAAACUACCAGAAAGAUUAGGGCAGAAGGAAUUGCAUUUCCUUCAUUUGCAUCUUUAUUUAUCUAACUUUCCAAUGUUGCAGGAGCCCAAAAGUUUGGUCAUGCUGUUGGUUUUCUUUCUUGUCUGCAUGUGAUUUUACAGCUAUAUUGUUUUCAUUUUACUACAGUUUGAUUGUUACAGAUUACAAGAAAAACUUUGUAGUGCCAUGUGUAAUACACAAUUCUGUCAACCUUCCUGAGCGAGACAUCUGUCACUUGGUUGCUGGCAAUAAGGGUGGAACUGAAUGCACUGACCCUUCCAGUGGUCCCUUUCAGUCUUGUUCAGCUCAACCUCUUCAAAGGCUGCAACAAUUACAGCUUCAGAUGGAAAAGAGAUAGAAGGAUUGUGAUUCUCAGGGUCACAAGGUCUCUAAGCCACUCUUUAAUGCUUCAGUCAGGUUUUAUAUGUGUGUUCCCCACUCAUCAUGCAACAAGUUGUAGAACUGAAUUUCCAGAGCUCAGACAUUCUGAUUGCUUUGUGGGUGCAUGGCCUUACAAUUUUGUACCCACCCAGAAGAGUCAAGCAGAGAUAAAUAAAUGAGCUUGCCGACACUCAGCCUAGAAUGUUUGUCUACAUGAUCAGGGUAAUCAUGCUACCAGCUUAGGUAGUGCAGGGAGACAUACCUUGAGGAAUAAGGUUCAGUGUGUUGUAACAAAAUAUAUGAGAAAAUAAUGUAGCCUUAUUUCCUAUUUUAUGCUUUGAACUAGAAUUUUCUUAGCAGAAGCUAAAGAGCAGAUACUUGUUUUUAUAAAACAUUUGUAAAAUGGAAACGCCACUUGUAAAUACUGAUGCAGUCAGAUAUUAGGGCUACCUAGAAGGAAGCAUAUAGUCCCAGUGCUGUGAAGCCCUGAUUUUUUUUCAUUUUUUAUUUCCUAAGACAACUAGCUCCACCUACUAAGCACAUCUGAACCAUUUCACCCUGGGUUCUGUAAGAUGAAUGACUGCUCACAGUGAUACUGCAGGAUUGAAAGGUUCCUAGAUUUUCUUUUGAUGUAUGCUUACAUGCUGGUAAGGCCAGAAAGAUGUUCAAGACAUAGAUGAAUUAUUUGAGGCAGAAUUGUAUAUGUUUAAAAUGUCUGUCCAGACAUUCUACCUAAAAUUUUCCAGGUCUUUGCUCUUCUAGGAUAUCUUUGUUCUUCCUCUAUAUUUUUCCAUGUUUUUUUUUCAAAUGCAUUUCAUUCUUUUAAGCCUUCCUCAUUAGUUAAUGCUUUCUGGAGCUUUCAGCGUUUCGUUUGCUCUUCAGGAUUCCAGUUUUUCUGUAUCCUUAGAGAAGUCUACAACUCAGAUACAUUUUUAUAGCUGUGGGUUUAUAAGUGACAAAUAGAAAGGCCAUGUUUUACUAAUAGACUGACUUCUUAGGUACAGCAUAACUUUGAAUUAACAUAAGAAUUGAAUUAACACUUUUGCCAUAGUUUUAUUUUGUUCAAAAAUGAAUGAUUUGUAAUUCUUAUGAAUAUUUUUUACUACUCCUGCUUAGGUUGUUCCCAUUUUGUAGUAAGCCAAAAGCUUUUGUUACCAUUUGCUCAUUUUAAAAUUUUCUUUAUGGAUCACUUCUAGCUGUAUCCUCAUUAAUUAAGAAGAGUCAGUAUUAUACUUCACUGUAAGAGAUCAGUGACAACAGAUCUAGCCCGUGAAGAGCUUACUACCUCUUCAUACAGUUUAAAAUAUUUUUCUGCGUUCUUAAGUAUGAAACAUUUCUAUCUUGCAAGCCUGAUAAGGCAACUAUUUCCAAAAAAGCUGUGUUACAAAAUGAAUCCUUGUAGCACUAUUUCAAAAAUGUUGCAUGUCUCACUUAGCCCGGUGGCUGCUACAUAGUAGGGAAUGAGUGUUACAUUAAUGACCACAUUUGACAGCCUGACUCUGUAAUCUGUUUUUCACUGGCAUUUCAUUUCUAGGCCAACAUUUAUGCCCUUAUCUGGAAAAAUUAGACCAAUGCAAUUUUAAAAAAAAAAAUUAUUAACAAGACUUUUAAUAUUAAAGAUGGUUAUAUAUCCUCAUUAAGUAAGAUGUGCCAUCCAGAGACUAGCCAUCUUGUUAUGUGGUCAUGAAAUGAGGUAGGGUUAGACUGUGCUCUUGAGCUACAGAGCUCUGAUGAAAGCCUGUUUCAUGAAGCACAAAGCUCCACUCAGUAGGUGGCAUUCUUGUCACUGACAUUUGUCACCAAUAUCUUCUGGGGUAGUGCUGUCACUAAAGCUGUUUGAAGUUGGUGGAAAUAUAGUAAACCUUUUCCCGUUUUCAUUUUUUAAAUAUAUUUAGCUGGGUGAUUGUUGCUUCUUGAAAGACCUGACAAAGGGUGAGAAUGUACAUAGCUGUCUGCUUUUUCUGACUUCAUCACAUCCAGGAAAUAUAAUAAAAUACAUUAUUUAAUUUAGAUUCAAUGGACUAUACUUUCCCUGUUUGUGCAAGACCACCUUUCUUUAAAGAUCCUGUUCUGUUUGUGAGUUGAGGUAGCUUAGUCAAGUACCUGACAGUUAGAAACUAUGGCUAUAGUGACUACUAAACCUGGAUCUUUAUUCUUGCACAGUAUGGUCAGUAUGUUCCUCCAGCUAAACUCCUAGCUAAACUCUUGACUAAAUUUAAACACAACCAUGAUAAAAAAAUAACAAAAUCAUUAGAACAUGUCACUGAGUUCCAUAAUAAAAGCCAUUAUGACUUCCUCAGAACUGUACAAAGUCCUCUGCACAGAUUUCACAAGUUUGUGCAAUGAUUCCCCUGCAUCCCUCAGGGUAACUACAUAGCUACAGAAUUUUUAGAGUGAAACUUGGCAUUAGUGGUUUUGGACAAAGCCAAAGAAUAAAGAUUAAACUUUUUUUUUUUUUUUUUUUUUGCUGAAGAUUUGUUACAGCAUAAAUACUGUCUAAUAUACGAUAAUCCAAUUUUUAUAAAGUCCCUAGGAGCAGCAGAGCUGCAUUUUUUAAUUCUGGACAAGUGUGACUCUCAAAAACAUUUUCUGAAAUUAGCUAGUUUCCUUGGGUUUUACUGUAGUGAGAAGUUAACAAGUAUCCUUUGUUCCAUUUUUAGCUCUGUUAUUGGUUUAGUAAAUUAAAUAGAAGUUUGUAUUAGCAGAUUUAUGUGGAGGCAUAAGCAUUUAGGUGUGUGCCAAUAUUCAGACAGUCUAAGAAAGCAGUGCAUCAUGUUUGGUUUUUACAAAGAUAUAUUUCUACUGUAGCUGGUAAAUGAACACUAUGUGGUGCAAUUGAAUUUGAUCCUAAACUUCUAAAGCUUUGGCAGAGAUAUUUUAAUGAGCUGAGACAAAAGGUCUAUCUCAUGGUAGCUCUGCCUCUCCACUAGAUUAAAAUAAAUCCAGUCAUGCAUGUUUUUUGUCUCCUUUUCUUUCCAAACAUAAGAAAAAAAUAAUUUCCUUUACCAAUUCAGUGAGUUGAACGUUGUUAUACGUAUAAAUGUUCAAAUAUAAAUGUGUAGAUACUGUCUCCCACUUGGUGACCAGAAGACCAAAGUAUCUAAAAAAAACAACUUUUCUAACAAAUUAUGAAAGAAAAAAUGAAGUUGAACCCUGCAUUCAUAUCGAUGUAGGGGAA
Neopsephotus bourkii (Bourke's parrot) is the source of this 5069-nucleotide long non-coding RNA. RefSeq lists it as uncharacterized. Lineage: Eukaryota; Metazoa; Chordata; Aves; Psittaciformes; Psittacidae. The record is from RefSeq and is a predicted model, not a curated record. The transcript has 2 exons.